This is a non-coding RNA of Fistulina hepatica ATCC 64428, 101 nucleotides long. The record is from the annotation of a GenBank genome assembly. NCBI's taxonomy places the organism in Eukaryota, Fungi, Basidiomycota, Agaricomycetes, Agaricales, Fistulinaceae.
GGUUCAGUGGUCUAAUGGUUAUGAUUUCUGUCUCACAUUCUACACUAGUACUAGUUUAGCAAGGGCACAGAAGGUUCUGAGUUCGAUCCUCAGCUGAACCA